CCCUUAGAUGUUCUGGGCCGCACGCGUGCUACACUGAGUGGAUCAGCGGGUCAGGUUGCGCGAAAGCGUUUCCUAAUCUUUAAAUCCGCUCGUGAUGGGGAUUGACGGUUGCAAUUUUCUGUCAUGAACGAGGAAUACCUUGUAAGCGCGGGUCAUCAUCCCGCGCUGAAUACGUCCCUGCCCUUUGUACACACCGCCCGUCGCUACUACCGAUUGAAUGGUUUAGUGAGAUCUUCGGAUUGGCCACCUUGGUGCCUUCGCGGGUCCAUGGCGUGCCGAAAAGUUGUUCAAACUUGAUCAUUUAGAGGAAGUAAAAGUCGUAACA
RNAcentral lists this ribosomal RNA (325 nucleotides) under uncultured eukaryote. RNAcentral describes it as "partial 18S ribosomal RNA". It matches the Rfam family "Eukaryotic small subunit ribosomal RNA", at positions 1470 to 1796 of the family's 1831-position model. The record is from RNAcentral.